RNAcentral lists this ribosomal RNA (331 nucleotides) under uncultured Geobacillus sp. RNAcentral describes it as "bacterial SSU rRNA". It matches the Rfam family "Bacterial small subunit ribosomal RNA", at positions 1052 to 1382 of the family's 1533-position model. Lineage: Bacteria; Bacillati; Bacillota; Bacilli; Caryophanales; Anoxybacillaceae. The record is from RNAcentral.
GCGUCAGCUCGUGUCGUGAGAUGUUCGGGUUAAGUCCCGCAACCGAGCGCAACCCUCGCCUCUAGUUGCCAGCAUUCGGUUGGGCACUCUAGAGGGACUGCCGGCGACAAGUCGGAGGAAGGUGGGGAUGACGUCAAAUCAUCAUGCCCCUUAUGACCUGGGCUACACACGUGCUACAAUGGGCGGUACAAAGGGCUGCGAACCCGCGAGGGGGAGCGAAUCCCAAAAAGCCGCUCUCAGUUCGGAUUGCAGGCUGCAACUCGCCUGCAUGAAGCCGGAAUCGCUAGUAAUCGCGGAUCAGCAUGCCGCGGUGAAUACGUUCCCGGGCCUU